RNAcentral lists this ribosomal RNA (468 nucleotides) under uncultured bacterium. Its description in RNAcentral is "partial 16S ribosomal RNA". It matches the Rfam family "Bacterial small subunit ribosomal RNA", at positions 28 to 507 of the family's 1533-position model. The record is from RNAcentral.
GACGAACGCUGGCGGCGUGCUUAACACAUGCAAGUCGAACGGAAAGGCCCUGCUUUUGUGGGGUGCUCGAGUGGCGAACGGGUGAGUAACACGUGAGUAACCUGCCCUUGACUUUGGGAUAACUUCAGGAAACUGGGGCUCAUACCGGAUAUGAGCUCCUGCUGCAUGGUGGGGGUUGGAAAGUUUCGGCGGUUGGGGAUGGACUCGCGGCUUAUCAGCUUGUUGGUGGGGUAGUGGCUUACCAAGGCUUUGACGGGUAGCCGGCCUGAGAGGGUGAACGGCCACAUUGGGACUGAGAGACGGCCCAGACGGCUACGGGAGGCAGCAGUGGGGAAUAUUGCACAAUGGGCGGAAGCCUGAUGCAGCAACGCCGCGUGCGGGAUGACGGCCUUCGGGUGGUAAACCGCUUUCGCCUGUGACGAAGAGUGAGUGACGGUAAUGGGUAAAGAAGCACCGGCUAACUACGUG